RNAcentral lists this ribosomal RNA (585 nucleotides) under uncultured bacterium. RNAcentral's name for it is "partial 16S ribosomal RNA". It matches the Rfam family "Bacterial small subunit ribosomal RNA", at positions 355 to 1375 of the family's 1533-position model. The record is from RNAcentral.
UAGGGAAUUUUGGACAAUGGGCGAAAGCCUGAUCCAGCAAUGCCGCGUGUGUGAAGAAGGCCUUCGGGUUGUAAAGCACUUUUGUCCGGAAAGAAAUCCUUGGCUCUAAUACAGUCGGGGGAUGACGGUACCGGAAGAAUAAGCACCGGCUAACUACGUGCCAGCAGCCGCGGUAAUACGUAGGGUGCAAGCGUUAAUCGGAAUUACUGGGCGUAAAGCGUGCGCAGGCGGUUUGCUAAGACCGAUGUGAAAUCCCCGGGCUCAACCUGGGAACUGCAUUGGUGACUGGCAGGCUAGAGUAUGGCAGAGGGGGGUAGAAUUCCACGUGUAGCAGUGAAAUGCGUAGAGAUGUGGAGGAAUACCGAUGGCGAGGGCAGCCCCCUGGGCCAAUACUGACGCUCAUGCACGAAAGCGUGGGGAGCAAACAGGAUUAGAUACCCUGGUAGUCCACGCCCUAAACGAUGUCAACUAGUUGUUGGGGAUUCAUUUCCUUAGUAACGUAGCUAACGCGUGAAGUUGACCGCCUGGGGAGUACGGUCGCAAGAUUAAAACUCAAAGGAAUUGACGGGGUCAUAGCUGUUUCCU